RNAcentral lists this ribosomal RNA (253 nucleotides) under uncultured bacterium. RNAcentral's name for it is "partial 16S ribosomal RNA". It matches the Rfam family "Bacterial small subunit ribosomal RNA", at positions 524 to 776 of the family's 1533-position model. The record is from RNAcentral.
UACGUAGGGUGCGAGCGUUAAUCGGAAUUACUGGGCGUAAAGCGUGCGCAGGCGGUUUUGUAAGCCAGAUGUGAAAUCCCCGGGCUUAACCUGGGAAUGGCAUUUGGGACUGCAAGGCUGGAGUGCGGCAGAGGAGACUGGAAUUCCUGGUGUAGCAGUGAAAUGCGUAGAUAUCAGGAGGAAUACCGAUGGCGAAGGCAGGUCUCUGGGCUGAUACUGACGCUCAUGCACGAAAGCGUGGGGAGCAAACAGG